AGAGUUUGAUCAUGGCUCAGAUUGAACGCUGGCGGUCAGCUUAACACAUGCAAGUCGAACGGUAACAUAGGAAGCUUGCUUCCUGAUGACGAGUGGCGGACGGGUGAGUAACGCGUGGGAAUCUACCCAGAAGUUCGGGACAACCUGGUGAAAACCAGGCUAAUACCGAAUAAUAUCUACGGAUGAAAGGAGGGGAUCUUCGGACCUUUCGCUUUUGGAUGAGCCCGCGUUAGAUUAGCUAGUUGGUGGGGUAAAGGCCUACCAAGGCGACGAUCUAUAGCUGGUCUGAGAGGACGAUCAGCCACACUGGGACUGAGACACGGCCCAGACUCCUACGGGAGGCAGCAGUGGGGAAUAUUGGACAAUGGGGGCAACCCUGAUCCAGCAAUACCGCGUGUGUGAAGAAGGCCUGCGGGUUGUAAAGCACUUUCAAUUGUGAAGAAAAGAUUAAGGUUAAUAACCUUAGUCCUUGACGUUAACUUUAGAAGAAGCACCGGCUAACUCCGUGCCAGCAGCCGCGGUAAUACGGAGGGCGCGAGCGUUAAUCGGAAUUACUGGGCGUAAAGCGUGCGUAGGCGGUUAUUUAAGUCAGAUGUGAAAGCCCAGGGCUCAACCUUGGAACUGCAUUUGAAACUGGAUAACUAGAGUUUGGUAGAGGUGAGUAGAAUUCCUAGUGUAGCGGUGAAAUGCGUAGAUAUUAGGAGGAAUACCAGUGGCGAAGGCGGCUCACUGGACCAAAACUGACGCUGAGGUACGAAAGCGUGGGGAGCAAACGGGAUUAGAUACCCCGGUAGUCCACGCCGUAAACGAUGUCAACUAGUCGUUGGGUCCUUCGGGGCUUAGUGACGCAGCUAACGCGUGAAGUUGACCGCCUGGGGAGUACGGCCGCAAGGCUAAAACUCAAAUGAAUUGACGG
Molecule: ribosomal RNA, 916 nt
Filed under: Spirobrachia tripeira associated bacterium
Lineage: Bacteria
Description: bacterial SSU rRNA
Rfam family: Bacterial small subunit ribosomal RNA
Source: RNAcentral